AGAUCAAAACCUUAACGAUCACCAACGACCGAAUGGCCCUUUCGGCUAACUAAGCUCUGGUACUCCACCUCACCUUUCUUUCUUCAUUUCUCCUCAGAUCUCUCCGUCACCACCACCAAAAACUCCCGGAAAAUGACGAAACCAGCACUUUACCUCCUUCUCUCUAUCCUCGUCCUCUCCCUCUCCAUACUCACUACCUCCGAGAUCAAAACCUUAACGAUCA
Molecule: unclassified non-coding RNA, 223 nt
Filed under: Hevea brasiliensis (rubber tree)
Lineage: Eukaryota; Viridiplantae; Streptophyta; Magnoliopsida; Malpighiales; Euphorbiaceae
Source: RNAcentral